Molecule: ribosomal RNA, 253 nt
Filed under: uncultured bacterium
Lineage: Bacteria
Description: partial 16S ribosomal RNA
Rfam family: Bacterial small subunit ribosomal RNA
Source: RNAcentral
UACGUAGGUGGCAAGCGUUGUUCGGAAUUAUUGGGCGUAAGGGGCGCGUAGGCGGUUUGUUAAGUCGGCUGUGAAAGCCCGGGGCUCAACCCCGGAGGGUCAGCCGAUACUGGCAGACUAGAGUACGGAAGAGGUAGCUGGAAUUCCCGGUGUAGCGGUGAAAUGCGUAGAUAUCACUAGGAACGCCGGUGGCGAAAGCGAUCUGCUGGACCUCUACUGACGCUGAGGCGCGAAAGCCAGGGGAGCAAACGGG